RNAcentral lists this ribosomal RNA (432 nucleotides) under uncultured bacterium. RNAcentral describes it as "bacterial SSU rRNA". It matches the Rfam family "Bacterial small subunit ribosomal RNA", at positions 354 to 796 of the family's 1533-position model. The record is from RNAcentral.
GUGGGGAAUAUUGCACAAUGGGCGAAAGCCUGAUGCAGCGACGCCGCGUGAGGGAUGACGGCCUUCGGGUUGUAAACCUCUUUCAGUAGGGAAGAAGCUUUCGGGUGACGGUACCUGCAGAAGAAGCGCCGGCUAACUACGUGCCAGCAGCCGCGGUAAUACGUAGGGCGCAAGCGUUGUCCGGAAUUAUUGGGCGUAAAGAGCUCGUAGGCGGUUUGUCGCGUCUGCUGUGAAAACGCGAGGCUCAACCUCGCGCCUGCAGUGGGUACGGGCAGACUAGAGUGCGGUAGGGGAGACUGGAAUUCCUGGUGUAGCGGUGGAAUGCGCAGAUAUCAGGAGGAACACCGGUGGCGAAGGCGGGUCUCUGGGCCGUAACUGACGCUGAGGAGCGAAAGCAUGGGGAGCGAACAGGAUUAGAAACCCCUGUAGUCC